RNAcentral lists this ribosomal RNA (896 nucleotides) under uncultured archaeon. RNAcentral describes it as "bacterial SSU rRNA". It matches the Rfam family "Archaeal small subunit ribosomal RNA", at positions 21 to 904 of the family's 1478-position model. The record is from RNAcentral.
CCCGACUGCUAUUUGGGUGAGGAUAAGCCAUGCAAGUUGAAUGGAAUGCCAAAAUAUUCCAUGGCAAACUGCUCAAUAGCACGUGAUCAACUUACCCUAUGGAAAACAAUAACCUCUGGAAACGGAGGAUAAUGGUUUAUAGUUGAAAAGGCUUGGAAAAGUUUUUCAAUAAAAGGGAAUAAUAAAAAUGGUUAUUAUUUUGCCAUAGGAUAGGAUUGCGGUCGAUUAUGGCUGUUGGUGAGGUAAAGGCUCACCAAGCCGAUAAUCGAUAGGGGCCGCGAGAGCGGGAGCCCCGAGAUGGGUACUGAGACAACGACCCAGGCCUUACGAGGCGCAGCAGGCGCGAAACCUCCGCUAUACACGAAAGUGUGACGGGGUUACCCAAAGUGUUCAUUAGAACUGUGGUAGGUGAGUAAUGUUCCCUACUAGAAAGGAGAGGGCAAGGCUGGUGCCAGCCGCCGCGGUAAAACCAGCUCUUCAAGUGGUCGGGAUAAUAUUGGGCUUAAAGUGUCCGUAGCCGGUUUAGUAAGUUCCUGGUAAAAUCAGGUAGCUUAACUAUCUGUAUGCUAGGAAUACUGCUAUACUAGAGGGCGGGAGAGGUCUGAGGUACUACAGGGGUAGGGGUGAAAUCUUAUAAUCCUUGUUGGACCACCAGUGGCGAAGGCGUCAGACUGGAACGCGCCUGACGGUGAGGGACGAAAGCCAGGGGAGCGAACCGGAUUAGAUACCCGGGUAGUCCUGGCCGUAAACGAUGCAUACUAGGUGAUGGCACGGCCAUGAGUCGUGUCAGUGCCGUAGGGAAACCGUUAAGUAUGCCGCCUGGGAAGUACGGUCGCAAGGCUAAAACUUAAAGGAAUUGGCGGGGGAGCACCACAAGGGGUGAAGCCUGCGGUUCA